UCUUCAUUUCCCACACUCAAUCACCAGUCAGAGAGGCGAGAGAGUGUGUGAAAUGAAGAGA
Non-coding RNA from Pristionchus pacificus, 61 nucleotides. The record is from Rfam. Lineage: Eukaryota; Metazoa; Nematoda; Chromadorea; Rhabditida; Neodiplogasteridae.